Pelobates cultripes (western spadefoot toad) is the source of this 219-nucleotide non-coding RNA. NCBI's taxonomy places the organism in Eukaryota, Metazoa, Chordata, Amphibia, Anura, Pelobatidae. The record is from the annotation of a GenBank genome assembly.
CCAGUAUUAAGUAACACCAGAGGCAUACCAGCGUACGUUCAGAGAACUAUUAAGGAAUGAAAGAGACUCAUUUACAGAAUUGUCCUGCAGAGCGGUAUGCGCACCUGGCUCUGACGACCCCGAUAGGUUACUCCUCCCGGAUCUCUUAGGAGAAGAGAACCCAGAGGGGUCCAUAGAACAAGUACAAUUAGGUGAAAAGUUAAGCCUGAACAAAGACAC